Molecule: unclassified non-coding RNA, 247 nt
Filed under: uncultured Tremellomycetes
Lineage: Eukaryota; Fungi; Basidiomycota; Tremellomycetes
Description: sequence contains ITS2
Source: RNAcentral
ACAUUAACUUGACUUGAGUUCGAGUCAAAAUUGAGACUUCAUUUGUGUUCUGAACCAGAUGAGCCUUGAAUUGUAUAAGAAUUCAGGUUCCGGUGUGACCGCAUAUACUGAACAUUGUGGGAUACGAAACUGUAGAAAGCUAUUCUACGGAUCGAAUUUCAUCAUCACAAUGAGUUCAGUAUGAAAGGUGUGACUGGAGCAAUUUCAACUGAAUACUUCCAAAAUUAAUUUUGAAAUUUAUUUCAAU